UGAGAUAUGGUGUAAUGGUAACACAACAGAUUUUGGUUCUGUUAUUCAAGGUUCGAGUCCUUGUGUCCCAA
RNAcentral lists this transfer RNA (71 nucleotides) under Bacteroides fragilis. RNAcentral's name for it is "tRNA-Gln". It matches the Rfam family "tRNA". Rfam says of the family: Transfer RNA (tRNA) molecules are approximately 80 nucleotides in length. Their secondary structure includes four short double-helical elements and three loops (D, anti-codon, and T loops). The record is from RNAcentral. RNAcentral also lists the same sequence under 3 other names. Lineage: Bacteria; Pseudomonadati; Bacteroidota; Bacteroidia; Bacteroidales; Bacteroidaceae.